This 371-nucleotide unclassified non-coding RNA is filed under the name soil metagenome. RNAcentral describes it as "partial contains 5.8S ribosomal RNA, internal transcribed spacer 2, and large subunit ribosomal RNA". The stretch from base 1 to 120 matches the Rfam family "5.8S ribosomal RNA", at positions 35 to 154 of the family's 154-position model. The record is from RNAcentral.
GAUGAAGAACGCAGCGAAAUGCGAUAAGUAAUGUGAAUUGCAGAAUUCAGUGAAUCAUCGAAUCUUUGAACGCACAUUGCGCCCGCCAGUAUUCUGGCGGGCAUGCCUGUUCGAGCGUCAUUUCAACCCUCAGGCCCCCAGUGCCUGGCGUUGGGGAUCGGCGUGGGCGGCGAACGGCUCUCCGGAGCCCGAGCCAAUGCCUGCCGGCCCCGAAAUUCAGUGGCGGUCUCGCUGUAGUCCCCCUAUGCGUAGUAGCACAACUCGCAUUGGAGCUCGGCGGUGGCCAUGCCGUAAAACACCCCACUUCUGAAAGUUGACCUCGGAUCAGGUAGGAAUACCCGCUGAACUUAAGCAUAUCAAUAAGCGGAGGA